Molecule: long non-coding RNA, 258 nt
Filed under: Daucus carota (carrot)
Lineage: Eukaryota; Viridiplantae; Streptophyta; Magnoliopsida; Apiales; Apiaceae
Description: long non-coding RNA (DCAR_LNC002037)
Source: RNAcentral
UCUCUCUCUCACACACUUCUCUCUUCAUUCUCUAUUACGCAUUUCAUCAAACACCUUACAUACACUCUCUCAAACUCUUAUUUUCUUUCAGAAAAAUGUCGACAACAGCAUUUGAGUUCGAUGGGGCUAAAUUUGUCACAAAUAACUAUGCUGCCAUACUUGACAACGAUGAAGCCCCCAAGGAGUUUCAUCUGACACAGGAUUUUCUGGCUCACAGCGAGCUGAUGUAUGCUCUGACUCAACCAGAGUCUAUUUCUC